Molecule: ribosomal RNA, 483 nt
Filed under: uncultured bacterium
Lineage: Bacteria
Description: partial 16S ribosomal RNA
Rfam family: Bacterial small subunit ribosomal RNA
Source: RNAcentral
AUUGAACGCUGGCGGCAGGCCUAACACAUGCAAGUCGAGCGGAUGAAGGGAGCUUGCUCCUGGAUUCAGCGGCGGACGGGUGAGUAAUGCCUAGGAAUCUGCCUGGUAGUGGGGGAUAACGUCCGGAAACGGGCGCUAAUACCGCAUACGUCCUGAGGGAGAAAGUGGGGGAUCUUCGGACCUCACGCUAUCAGAUGAGCCUAGGUCGGAUUAGCUAGUUGGUGGGGUAAAGGCCUACCAAGGCGACGAUCCGUAACUGGUCUGAGAGGAUGAUCAGUCACACUGGAACUGAGACACGGUCCAGACUCCUACGGGAGGCAGCAGUGGGGAAUAUUGGACAAUGGGCGAAAGCCUGAUCCAGCCAUGCCGCGGGUGUGAAGAAGGUCUUCGGAUUGUAAAGCACUUUAAGUUGGGAGGAAGGGCAGUAAGUUAAUACCUUGCUGUUUUGACGUUACCAACAGAAUAAGCACCGGCGAACUUCGU